Molecule: transfer RNA, 70 nt
Filed under: Marmota monax (woodchuck)
Lineage: Eukaryota; Metazoa; Chordata; Mammalia; Rodentia; Sciuridae
Description: tRNA.Ala
Source: RNAcentral
GGGCUGGGGCUGAGUGGUAAAGCGCUCGCCUAGCACGUGCAGAGUGCUGCGUUCAAUCCUCAGCACCACA